Molecule: long non-coding RNA, 2875 nt
Organism: Vicia villosa (hairy vetch)
Lineage: Eukaryota; Viridiplantae; Streptophyta; Magnoliopsida; Fabales; Fabaceae
Exons: 3
Source: RefSeq, a predicted model, not a curated record
CUCAUUCUCCUCUAUCCACUCUCUUUCCACACUUUUGUCAUUUUCAACACUCUCACUAUCUCUCUCCGAUUUUCCCUUUUCUCUCUCAAAACCUCACAAACCCUAACACCUCUCAUCUUGACCGAUCUAGAUUUCUUGCCGUUUUCCAUCCAAUAGCAAUCUCACUCUCUUUUUCAUUUCUCCUGCUAAACACAAGAAACCUCUGAGCUCUCCAAACUUUUUCUUGCAGUUCUACCUCACCAUCUUCCUUCUUCGGAUUCUUCCAUCUUGAUACGAGUUCCACCGUGUUAGAGGAACCUUAAUGGCAACUUUCUGUCCGCAAUGGUCCCAGCAACUCUAUGAGCAAGGCUUUUGCACAGAGCUAGCUUCAAAUAAUUCAGGUAUGUGUGGUAUACCCGGAUUACCUACAUCCAGGCCUCAUCUUUCUGUCGGUGUUAAAGUUGGUAUUUGAAAUGCAGAUGGUAUGUUCAAUAUUUUGUAUAUGUACAUUACUUUGUUUGUAGUUAUAGCUGAUCUAGGAGGUGGUAUGUUCAUAACUGAUCCAAAGAGACUAGCAAGAAGCCACGUGCUUAGGUCAUGCAGCCACAAUAAGGCUGAUGUUCUGGAAAGGAAAAGGGGAACAGUGCGUGUGAAGAUGGAAAUGAACAUGAAAAUUUUCAUCUUAUGUUUUGUUAUCUGCUUUUUACUAUUAAAUAUCUUUUGAAAAGUCACACAAAUCAUGAAGAUAGUAAAUUUGCAAUAUUGUGCUUUCUAAUAGCUGAUGUCUGCUGCUUUUAUUUGUAUUGAUACUCCAAUAUUUAUACUCUAUUUAUUAACUUUUACAUCUUCUAAAGAUUCAUUUUAUGACUUCCUUUGGUUUGAAAAUCUUUUGCUUCAUACUGUACUUUUUUUAUUUUUCAUAAAGACUUAUUUUUCUUCAUGAUGUCAGACACAAGGAAAAAUUUCAUUUGACAUUUGACUGUACUUGCUUUGGUUUGCUAUCUUUUAUUGCUCAUAAAGAUUCAUUUUGUGACUUCUUUUGGUUUGCUAUCUUUUCUAAAAAAUAGUUACAAUGACUGUACUUUCUUUUCACAUCUCCAUCUUAUCUUUACUAGGGCCAUGUCUGAACUUUGAGUACUAUUUCUAGCUUAUAAUGCUAAAGUUUUAUGUGCAUUUGGAAGUGAUUGCAAAGAAAGCUUUAUGUUCAGUGAUAAAUUUCUCUUUCUAUUUUUCCUUGGUUCAACACUUGCUGCAGAAAUAAGCCUACUAAUUUUCCUUGAAUCCCGUGUUCUGUUCUUUCUCUUUCAUGCUCCACCUAUUCAUGUUUUCUUAUGCCUAUGCCUAUCUAAUACAUUUUUAACUUUACAAACACUACCUACUCGAAAGUACAACCAUACAUCACUAUAUAGAGUAAUGCUUGUGUAUCUCACUAAAAAAUUUCCUGCUAUACUAGACAUAGUUCAGUUCCUACUACAAUAGACAUAGGAUGGUAGUGUCUAAUCCUUAGUUCCAUCUGAACUAUCUUUCUCUUAGUUCAACUCCUUUGUAAAUCCUUAUACAACUCUUUACAAUUUAAAUGAAUGAAUAUUUUCAAUCUGUUAUAUAUGAUUUGUUGCAAAGACUUAGGGUCUGUUAGAAAUAGUUUUUGUUUUUAGUUUUUAAAAACUGAAAAGUAAAAAUCAAAACACAAUUUAGCCAUUUCAGUUUUUUGCUUUUAAAAACUGAAAAAUUGUGAAGAGUUUUUAAAAACACAUUUGUAAAAUAUUAUAUUCAAACAAGUUUUUAGUUUUUAAAUUUUCAAAAACUAAAAUAGAGUUUUUAAAAAGCCUUUCAAACAGGCCCUUAAGAUUUAUGUGUUUAUGUUUUGACACAAAUGGUUUUAGGAGAAGAGUGUUCUUCAAUUAUGAAAAAUCGAUUCCCUUCAGAGUCCAUCAGAAAAGGUAAUAAAUCUUUUUAGAGUUUAAACAUAUUAGCUUAAAACCAAGAAAAUGUUAGCAUUGAAUGUUUCAUUUUCUGACAUGUUGUUUGAUUUCAGGUAUACGAGUAUUUUGCGUCAAUUCGAACCACAUGUGGCGAGAUUUUUAUUCUCUAUUAAGAGUUCAAUAGCAUUAUGCUCAAUGUGAAAAUAACUUUUGAGUAAAAAAACUUGUGUUUCUGGAUACUAGGUACAUAUUUUUUGUCUCUUCUCAGCAUACCAGAAUCCAGCUUUUUCGGUCGCGUUUAUAAUGUUUGAUAUUGACAGUAAUGGAUAGGAAUCCUCUUUACUUCUGAAAAUAUCAUAAGCUAUAGUUAAAUUAUGUUUUGGCAUUCGACUUUGUUGAUUGAAUGUUCAUUGAGCUAACGACAGAGACGGACGAUGCCUCGGCGUAAAAAGUCCAGGAGAAAAUGGUUGUCUCUUGGAGCAUUUUUUUGGCCAAGAUGGAAAGGAUUGCUUGCAACAUGACAAGUAUGAAAAUACAUAAAAGAUGAAUAAUUUUUUAUGUUUGCAAUCUCUGUCUAGAUAUGGACAAGUACACUGCAAUAAAUAAAAUCUUUCCAAUAAGUUAUGUCUACUGUUUCUUAAUUCGAUUUAAUGAGGUUAUCAAUUAAGAUCUGUUUCUACUCCCAUUACUUGAUCAUUCUGAGUUAAAUAUUUAUAGAAUAUGGUGUUUGAAUCAUAUUGAUUGUUUGAAUCAAUAUGAUUUGCUUCCUAUGAAAUUGAGAUUUUGUCAUAAAGCUAACUUGAUGCAAAUUGGAAUGUUUAUGAGUUAAUGGAUUUUGAAAUCUGUUUGGGUUAACCAUGAACUUCUUGGAAAUGCUAUUGCACAUUUUACUAGCUUGGUGUAACCAUUACUCUCAAUCUGAGUACAUGCCAAAAAGAACAUUAAUAAGAGAGUAGAUGUUUUGGUUAUACUGU